RNAcentral lists this ribosomal RNA (492 nucleotides) under uncultured bacterium. RNAcentral's name for it is "partial 16S ribosomal RNA". It matches the Rfam family "Bacterial small subunit ribosomal RNA", at positions 29 to 507 of the family's 1533-position model. The record is from RNAcentral.
AGUGAACGCUGGCGGUAGGCCUAACGCAUGCAAGUCGAACGGCAGCACAGUAAGAGCUUGCUCUUACGGGUGGCGAGUGGCGGACGGGUGAGGAAUACAUCGGAAUCUACUUUUUCGUGGGGGAUAACGUAGGGAAACUUACGCUAAUACCGCAUACGACCUACGGGCGAAAGCAGGGGAUCUUCGGACCUUGCGCGAUUGAAUGAGCCGAUGUCGGAUUAGCUAGUUGGCGGGGUAAAGGCCCACCAAGGCGACGAUCCGUAGCUGGUCUGAGAGGAUGAUCAGCCACACUGGAACUGAGACACGGUCCAGACUCCUACGGUAGGCAGCAGUGGGGAAUAUUGGACAAUGGGCGCAAGCCUGAUCCAGCCAUACCGCGUGGGUGAAGAAGGCCUUCGGGUUGUAAAGCCCUUUUGUUGGGAAAGAAAAGCAGCAGGUUAAUACCCCGCUGUUCUGACGGUACCCAAAGAAUAAGCACCGGCUAACUUCGUG